Molecule: transfer RNA, 66 nt
Filed under: Bombus hortorum
Lineage: Eukaryota; Metazoa; Arthropoda; Insecta; Hymenoptera; Apidae
Also listed under: 1 other name
Description: tRNA-Leu
Source: RNAcentral
UUUAAUAUGGCAGAUUAGUGCUUUGAAUUUAAAAUUCAAUUAUAAAGAUUUAUUCUUUUAUUAAAA